Molecule: long non-coding RNA, 674 nt
Organism: Prionailurus viverrinus (fishing cat)
Lineage: Eukaryota; Metazoa; Chordata; Mammalia; Carnivora; Felidae
Exons: 3
Source: RefSeq, a predicted model, not a curated record
UGGCAAUCAGUGAGAAACUGCCUGAUCAGUACCUUUGCACAGUGCCUGGCACAGAAAAGAAGCUCAGUGACAUAAAAUCGAACGCUGAGAAGCCUGUGAACUUGUCACAUCAGUGUGCAGCCUGGACAACUGACAGACCCAACACCAAAUGCUGUGGUUCCUUUUGCAAUCGUCUGUAAUUCUCCAACUCUGAGCAACAGGUUUGGAGGUCUCUCUUAACCCAGCUCCAGAGGAAACACUCAAUACACAAGUAUAACUUAAUUGGCAAUGUAGAUGCGGACAUUAAGGAAGGCUGGGUAGACAGGAAUUGUAUACAAAGAGCCUACAGCUACAAAUGUAUAAUCUUGUAACAAAACUGCACCAUCACCUCUGCACCUAGUUCUUGGUAUGUAAAGGAAAUUUGUUCAGUUCUUGGUAUGUAAAGGAAAUUUGGAAUGCUGCCUGCUGCAUGAAAACACAAUUUUCCCAUCAUCACCUACAAAACAUUGGCAAAGAAGGGCCGACUGUUUUGUCUUUAUAUCACAUGGAUUAUUCCUUCCCUUCUCCAUCAUGAUAUAAGUGUGAAGAUGCAAAAUAUCCCAAAGCCGAUCCUUCUUCGUCUUUGCUAACAACAAAUAAGCCAUUUUACUUCUCAGAACAAUCUUCCAGCUAAAUAUUUCUCCGGUUAUACAUAA